Molecule: transfer RNA, 73 nt
Filed under: Paravannella minima
Lineage: Eukaryota; Discosea; Flabellinia; Vannellidae
Description: tRNA-Asp
Rfam family: tRNA
About the family: Transfer RNA (tRNA) molecules are approximately 80 nucleotides in length. Their secondary structure includes four short double-helical elements and three loops (D, anti-codon, and T loops). Further hydrogen bonds mediate the characteristic L-shaped molecular structure. tRNAs have two regions of fundamental functional importance: the anti-codon, which is responsible for specific mRNA codon recognition, and the 3' end, to which the tRNAs corresponding amino acid is attached (by aminoacyl-tRNA synthetases). tRNAs cope with the degeneracy of the genetic code in two manners: having more than one tRNA (with a specific anti-codon) for a particular amino acid; and 'wobble' base-pairing, i.e. permitting non-standard base-pairing at the 3rd anti-codon position.
Source: RNAcentral
GGGGAUGUAACUUAAAGGUUAGAGUUUUAAUUUGUCACGUUAAAUGUUGUGGGUUCGAGUCCCAUCAUCCUCG